RNAcentral lists this small RNA (1495 nucleotides) under Arabidopsis thaliana (thale cress). RNAcentral's name for it is "ATSL094140". The record is from RNAcentral. Lineage: Eukaryota; Viridiplantae; Streptophyta; Magnoliopsida; Brassicales; Brassicaceae.
AGCCCUGCCAGGGCAAAUCACUCUAUCGCAACCUCGGAGAAGCAAGCAGCUCAGUUUCACUCAAUCGCGAAGCCGGAGGAAUCACCCCAUCAGAACCACUCGAUCACCACUCGAUCACCAGGAAGCCUAUCUGCUCAUUAUGCACUCAACCAGACAAGCUGAGAACAAAGAAGAGAAGAGAAGCCGAAGAAACCACUCGAUCACCACCUCAUGACAUCCACUCGAUCGCACUCGAUCACAGGGUCGCUGGACCAUUCAAUCUCGAAUUCACUGCAUCUCACUCGAUCGCAAGACGGAGCCCCUGAAGCCCAGUUUGAUCAAUAACAUACUCGAUCACUAGGAAGCUUAUUUCUGCCCGUCAGAUGCCAAUGACAUAUUCGGUCGCAGGAUCAUGACGUGAAGAUUUGCUAUAUAUUUAGUUUCCUUAUUUGUUUCAUUUCUCGCUUAUAUAAACUGCCUCUUAGGGUUUUCCCUAGGGCAUCCGUUAUUAUCCGCUAUUAUCCAUUAUUAUCUCGCUUUUACAUUUUCGCAACUUUGAUAGCCGCAGUGUUUCUCCUGCGACUUUGUAGUUUCGCUUUCAAGUAUUUGAUAUUCAGUUUUCGUUUAAGUCUUUCGUCAUUUCUGUUAUCAUGUUUUCAGUUGUUGCUUUGUUAUUGUCUUUGAUUAUGUCUGAGUAGUGAACUGUAUUUCUGAGGAUGUGAUAGAAUAGUUGUGGUUUACUUGGUCGUUUUAGGUGGUUGAGUUUAGAGUUCUAGAAUCCCUUCUGGAUUAGUUGCGCUUAUUGCUUAUUUCACUAGCUAAUGUGGAGUAUGAGUCCAGACGUCCAGCGCUCAGAAGGCAUUUAAUGGGCGUUGGAUCCUAUUAAUUCCAGAGAUAUCUGACUCUACCCCAAGGGAUUAGCUGUAGAGAGGGUAUUAACUUUAACAUGUUGAUUCGGUAAUGCCUGCUUAGUUAGAGAUCGCUAAAGGGAUUUAGGUCAGUGUCUAGCUUUGCUUGAGGAUUUCUAUCACGAGAGUGAAUUAAUCUGUUGUUGAACUUGUUGUCUAGGGAUAGCUUCUGUGAAGUUUUGUCAACCGCCUGAAUAGAUUAAGUAGACCACACUAUUCGAUUACCACAUCCUUAGGAAUCGUUUAUCCAUUUGCCUGUUAUCAUUUCUGCUUUGUCAUUCACUUGCCUGCUAUUGCCAUUUCUGCUUUUAGUUUCAUUUCAUUUCUGUUAUUGCAUAUUAGGACUGUUAGAACCAACCAACUUUCUGCUUGGCUUGACUUAGAGUUUUCUGAUCAUAUCUCAUCUGUUUGCAUCACACCGGAUUGGAUUGACAUCCUAAAAUACUACAACGACAAGAUAGUGUUUUAGGAUUAAUUGAGUAAAAUCCUACUAUCAAUUUGUGCCUUCCUCAGUUCUCUAAACUUGUCACUUUUAGCCUACAGAAUGCAAUCCUAUUUAUCAGUGCGUUAAAAAAAAUCAGAAAGACACAUGACUAUAGAACAAAAUC